Non-coding RNA from Equus caballus (horse), 657 nucleotides. NCBI's taxonomy places the organism in Eukaryota, Metazoa, Chordata, Mammalia, Perissodactyla, Equidae. The record is from RefSeq and is a predicted model, not a curated record.
GCUGCCCUCUCUCCUUGCUCAGUGCUGUGCAAAAAUAAAGUUCCUACUUUCUUCUACCACACCUGGUGUCAGAGAUUGGUUUUCUGAGCAACGGGUGAGUGAACUCACUUCAGGUUCGGUAACAAUUUGGCGACCCAGAUGGGACAAUGUCCCAGGUGGACGUCUCGCCUGUGGCACACCAGCCUCUGGUGAAAGGCCUCUCUUGGAAGCUGUCCUGCAGCUGCCUGAGUCCCUUGUCUCAGGGACAGCCCCAAGCGACUGGCUGCUAGCCAGACGUCAUUGGCCCACGGCGCUUUUGCUUUGGUGAUGGAAGAAACUAGGUUUAGGACUUAAAAAGACGUCUCUUGUAAGUAGCUGGUAGUUUUUGUUUUUGUCUUUGUGUUAACCUUUUCCAACAGGACCGGCCAGAAACAAUGGGUACCUUGGCAGCCCUCGGGGCUCCAUUUGUUUUGAAGUCACUGCGACGCCCUGGGCAAAUUUUGGACACAAUUGGAAACACUGGUUAUAUUACCAAGACUUUGACUGGAACAUCAUAUUUGAAAAAACAUACAGGCUUAAAUAUAACAAGACAGCUUUUGAGGAAUGAAGGUUGACAUUCUGGAAUAAAGCCACUUGGAAAUAUUGGCCUGGUACUGUGUUUAUGGGUUCUGUAACCUG